Molecule: ribosomal RNA, 478 nt
Filed under: uncultured bacterium
Lineage: Bacteria
Description: partial 16S ribosomal RNA
Rfam family: Bacterial small subunit ribosomal RNA
Source: RNAcentral
GACGAACGCUGGCGGCGUGCUUAACACAUGCAAGUCGAACGGUAAGGCCCUUCGGGGUACACGAGUGGCGAACGGGUGAGUAACACGGGGGUGAUCUGCCCUGCACUUCGGGAUAAGCCUGGGAAACUGGGUCUAAUACCGGAUAGGACCACUGCCUGCAUGGGUGGUGGUGGAAAGCUUUUGCGGUGUGGGAUGGGCCCGCGGCGUAUCAGCUUGUUGGUGGGGUGAUGGCCUACCAAGGCGACGACGGGUAGCCGGCCUGAGAGGGUGACCGGCCACACUGGGACUGAGAUACGGCACAGACUCCUACGGGAGGCAGCAGUGGGGAAUAUUGCACAAUGGGCGCAAGCCUGAUGCAGCGACGCCGCGUGAGGGAUGACGGCCUUCGGGUUGUAAACCUCUUUCAGCACCGACGAAGCGCAAGUGACGGUAGGUGCAGAAGAAGGACCGGCCAACUACGUGCCAGCAGCCGCGGUAA